AACGAACGCUGGCGGCAGGCCUAACACAUGCAAGUCGAACGAACCCUUCGGGGUGAGUGGCGCACGGGUGCGUAACACGUGGGAAUAUACACAUAGGUAAGGAAUAACUCAGGGAAACUUGCGCUAAUACCUUAUAAUAACUCCGGUUCAAAGAUUUAUCGCCUAUGGAUUAGCCCGCGCUAGAUUAGUUUGUGGUGAGGUAAGAGCUCACCAAGACUACGAUCUAUAGCUGGUCUUAGAGGAUGAUCAGCCACACUGGAACUGAGACACGGUCCAGACUCCUACGGGAGGCAGCAGUGAGGAAUAUUGCGCAAUGGAGGAAACUCUGACGCAGCCAUGCCGCGUGAAUGAAGAAGGCCUUAGGGUUGUAAAAUCUUUCAGAUGCGAAGAUAAUGACGGUACCAUCAGAAGAAGCUCCGGCUAAAUUCGUGCCAGCAGCCGCGGU
RNAcentral lists this ribosomal RNA (445 nucleotides) under uncultured bacterium. RNAcentral describes it as "bacterial SSU rRNA". It matches the Rfam family "Bacterial small subunit ribosomal RNA", at positions 29 to 521 of the family's 1533-position model. The record is from RNAcentral.